This is a microRNA precursor of Ipomoea nil (Japanese morning glory), 140 nucleotides long. The record is from Rfam. NCBI's taxonomy places the organism in Eukaryota, Viridiplantae, Streptophyta, Magnoliopsida, Solanales, Convolvulaceae.
UAAAGGAGAGCCUGUCAACCUAGCCAUGGACGACUGCCUAGCAGCCAUAUAUACAGGGACGUGACUUUUGAGCCAAAGGCACGCACCCUUUAGGAGGGAGGUAGGCAAGUCAUCCUUGGCUACUAAACAAACACUCCUCU